RNAcentral lists this ribosomal RNA (253 nucleotides) under uncultured bacterium. Its description in RNAcentral is "partial 16S ribosomal RNA". It matches the Rfam family "Bacterial small subunit ribosomal RNA", at positions 524 to 776 of the family's 1533-position model. The record is from RNAcentral.
GACGUAGGGCGUGAGCGUUGUCCGGAUUUAUUGGGCGUAAAGAGCUCGUAGGCGGCUUGUCGCGUCGAAUGUGAAAACUCGGGGCUCAACUCCGAGCUUGCAUUCGAUACGGGCAGGCUAGAGUUCGGUAGGGGAGACUGGAAUUCCUGGUGUAGCGGUGAAAUGCGCAGAUAUCAGGAGGAACACCGGUGGCGAAGGCGGGUCUCUGGGCCGAUACUGACGCUGAGGAGCGAAAGCGUGGGGAGCGAACAGG